UGGGGACAUUUAUGGCCACGUGGUGUCCUGGAGGCCAACCUGUUCCCUCCAUAGCCAUUGUAACCAUGACCUGGUGGCACUCUGGGGACAUUUAUGGCCACGUGGUGUCCUGGAGGCCAGCGUGUUCCCUCCAUAGCCACCCUACCAAGACCUGGUGGCACUUUGGGGACCCUUUUGGCCCCGUGCUGACCCCGCCGUCCCCCCCUCUUCCCUCAGGGUGACGCAGUGCAAGUACAAGCGCAUCGGGUGCCCGUGGCAGGGCCCGUUCCACGAGCUGACGGUGCACGAGGCCGAGUGCACGCACCCGACCAAGACGGGCAACGAGCUGAUGGAGAUCCUGGACGAGAUGGACCAGAGCCGCAAGAAGGAGAUGCAGCUCUACAACAGCAUCUUCAGCCUGCUCAGCUUCGAGAACAUCGGCUACACCGGUACGGGGACGGCGGCUGCGCGGGAACCGGGCGCUGCCCUCACCCUUGGGGGGGUGGGGGGGUGGCUCCGUGGGGUGUGCCAUGGGGUGGUGGCAUCGUGUGCCAUGGGGUGGUGGCUCUGUGUCCCGUGGGGUGGUGGCAUCAUGUUCCAUGGGGUGGUAGCAACUCGUUGUGGGGUGGUGGCUUGAUGUCCCAUGGGGCGGUGGCAUCGCGUUGUGGGGCAAUGGCAUCGCGUUGUGGGGUGGUGGCUCUGUGUCCCAUGGGGUGGUGGCAUCUCGUUGUGGGGUGGUGGCAUCUCGUUGUGGGGUGGUGGCAUCUCAUUGUGGGAUGGUGGCCCUGUGUCCCAUGGGGUGGUGGCAUCGUGGUGUGUCCCAUGGGGUGGUGGCAUCGUGGUGUGUCCCAUGGGGUGGUGGCAUCAUGUCCCAUGGGGUGGUGGCAUUGCGUUGUGGGAUGGUGGCUUGAUGUCUCAUGGGGCGGUGGCCCUGUCCCAUGGGGUGGUGGCAUUGUGGUGUGUCCCAUGGGGCGGUGGCAUCUCGUUGUGGGGUGGUGGCUCUGUCCCAUGGGGUGGUGGCAUCGUGGUGUGUCCCAUGGGGUGGUGGCAUCGCGUUGUGGGGUGGUGGCAUCGCGUUGUGGGGUGGUGGCAUCGCGUUGUGGGGUGGUGGCAUCGCGUUGUGGGGUGGUGGCUCUGUGUCCCAUGGGGUGGUGGCUCUGUCCCAUGGGGUGGUGGCAUCGUGGUGUGUCCCAUGGGGUGGUGGCAUCGCGUUGUGGGAUGGUGGCUUGAUGUCCCAUGGGGUGGUGGCCCUGUCCCGUGGGGUGGUGACAUUGUGGUGUGUCCCGUGGGGAGGUCGCAUCAUGAUGUCCCGUGGGGUGGUGGCAUCACCGUGAGGGAUGGUGGCUUAAUGUCCCAUGGGAUGGUGGCUCUGUCCUAUGGGGUGAUGGCAUCGCGCUGUGGGGCGGUGGCGCUGUGCUGCGCUGUGGGGCGGAGGCACUGUGCUGUGGGGCGGUGGCGUUGGCCGUGGGGCAGCGUGGAAUGUGGGGCAGGGCUGGCCAUGGGGCUCCGUUGCGAUCCCCUUGGGGUUCCCCUUGGGAUCUUAUUGGGGUUCCCCUUGGGAUCUUAUUGGGGUUCCCAUUGCUGUUCCUUUUGGGGUUCCCAUUGCUGUUCUUUUGGGGUUCCCAUUGCAGGUCCCAUUGGGUUCCCGUUGCUGUUCCUUUUGGGGUUCCAUUGCAUGUCCCCUUGGGUUCCCCUUGGGUUCCCCUUGGGUUCCCCUUGGGUUCCCCUUGGGUUCCCCUUGGGUUCCCCUUGGGUUCCCCUUGGGGUUCCCUUUGGGGUUCCUAUUGCCAUUCCCUUUGGGGUUCCUAUUGCCAUUCCCAUUGAGUUCCCAUUAGGGUUCCUAUUGCCGUUACCAUUGGGUUUCUCACUGGGAUCCUGUUGGGGUUCCUAUUGCGGAUCCCCUUGGGAUCUUUUUGGGGUUCCAGUUAGGAUUCCCAUUGCGUUCCUGUUGGGGUUCCUAUUGCGGUUCCCAUUGGGUUCCCCUUGGGGUUCCCAUUGCCGUUCCUUUUGAGAUCCCAUUGGGUUCCCCUUGGGGUUCCCAGUGCUGCUCCCUUUGGGAUCUUUUUGGGGUUCCCCUUGGGCUUCCUAUUGCCAUUCCCAUUGGGGUUCCCAUUGGGGUUCCUGUUGGGUUUCUCACUGGGAUCCUUUUGGGGUUCCACUUGGGGUUCCCCUUGGGCUUCCUAUUGCCUUUCCUAUUGGGAUUCCCUUUGGGGUUCCCAUUGGAUUUCUCACUGGGAUCCUGUUGGGAUCCCAUUGGGGUUCCCAUUGGGGUUCCCAUUGCCGUUCCCUUUGGGAUCCUUUUGGGGUUCCCCUUGGGGUUCCUAUUGCGGAUCCCCUUGGGAUCUUUUUGGGGUUCCAGUUGGGAUUCCCAUUGGGUUCCUGUUGGGGUUCCUAUUGCGGUUCCC
This 2384-nucleotide long non-coding RNA is filed under the name Numida meleagris (helmeted guineafowl). RNAcentral describes it as "lncRNA (ENSNMEG00000002024.1)". Lineage: Eukaryota; Metazoa; Chordata; Aves; Galliformes; Numididae. The record is from RNAcentral.